UACGUAGGUGGCAAGCGUUGUCCGGAAUUACUGGGUGUAAAGGGAGCGUAGGCGGGAAUGCAAGUCAAGUGUUAAAUCUAUCGGCUCAACUGAUAGUCGCGCUUGAAACUGUAUUUCUUGAGUGAAGUAGAGGCAGGCGGAAUUCCUAGUGUAGCGGUGAAAUGCGUAGAUAUUAGGAGGAACACCAGUGGCGAAGGCGGCCUGCUGGGCUUUUACUGACGCUGAGGCUCGAAAGCGUGGGUAGCAAACAG
Molecule: ribosomal RNA, 251 nt
Filed under: uncultured bacterium
Lineage: Bacteria
Description: partial 16S ribosomal RNA
Rfam family: Bacterial small subunit ribosomal RNA
Source: RNAcentral